Salmo salar (Atlantic salmon) is the source of this 54-nucleotide non-coding RNA. Lineage: Eukaryota; Metazoa; Chordata; Actinopteri; Salmoniformes; Salmonidae. The record is from Rfam.
UGCAUUCACUACUGUAAGUCUCUCUGGAUAAGUGUGUCUGCUAAAUGACUAAAA